GCUCCAAUCGUCUAGUCCGGCCAAGGACAUCGGCUUCUCAAGCCGGUAACCCGGGUUCGAAUCCCGGCUGGAGCA
Molecule: transfer RNA, 75 nt
Filed under: Microcaldota archaeon
Lineage: Archaea; Nanobdellati; Microcaldota
Description: tRNA-Glu
Rfam family: tRNA
About the family: Transfer RNA (tRNA) molecules are approximately 80 nucleotides in length.
Source: RNAcentral